This is a long non-coding RNA of Astatotilapia calliptera (eastern happy), 1297 nucleotides long. The record is from Ensembl. Lineage: Eukaryota; Metazoa; Chordata; Actinopteri; Cichliformes; Cichlidae.
GUUUUAAAGCUCUUGGCAGCGCUGAAACCGCAAAGUUUUUAACGGUCUUUAUUUAGCCACUAACUCAGGAGACUCGGCUGUGCCUUUGCUUUUGGAUCUGACAGCUGCCUUUAAUACUGUUGACCACAGCAUCUUGAUCUCACAUUGGGGCAUUGCAGCAUCAGAUUGGUUCAGUGGCAUUAGAGUGGUUCAGGUCUGAGAGGACUUUCUCUGUGAGCUUUGGAGAUUUUAUCUCUUCCUCAGCUCCCUGUAACCCACACAAUUUCCUCAGGGAUUAAUAAACUAUGCUGAUUCUCAUUCUGAUUACUUGUGGUGUUGCCCAGGGAUCUAUAUUGGGGCCAAUUUUAUUCUCUAUUUAUAUGCUACCUCGAGGUCUAUUUUUUUUUUUUUAGAAAAUAUAACAUUUGUUUCCAUUCAUACACCGAUGACACUCAGAUCUAUCUAGGACUGAAGACGAGCUGCCCUGCCCCACUGCUAUGGAUAGUUACCCCACCAUUACUUCAGUGUCUCGGUGAAAUUAAAGCCUGGAUGGCCUCUAACUUCUCUUUAAUGAGAAUAAAACCAAAGUGAUAAUUUUUGGACCAAGUGGCAAUCCCAGCACAGCUGAUUUUAACCGGCACAGUCUUACUGCUUAUAUGUUGGAGUUAUCCAGAUCUGCCUUGUAAGACUGCAGUUGGUCCAAAAUGUCGCAGCUCGUCUUCUGACACGAACCAAAAGACGCGAACAUAUUUCCCUGGUGCUUGCCUCUCUUCACUGGCUCCCUGUUCACUUUGGAGUUGAUUUUAAUUUUUUUAUUGUUGACUUAUAAAGCCCUGAAUGGAAAGGCUCCUGGGUAUUUGUCUGACCUCCUAUGGGCCCUCUAGAUCUAUUAGAUCAAAUGAUCUUCUGCUUUUAUGGAUACCAAGGUUGAGGCUGGUUCAAAGAGGCGAUCGAGCGUUUGGGGUUGUAGCGCCUUAACUGUGGAAUAAUCUACCCCUACACAUCAGACAGGCUCCUUCUGUGAAACCUUUUAAAUCUCAUCUUAAAACACAUCUGUAUUCACUGGCUUUUAAUGCAGUAUGAAAGUUAUUUGUUAUUUAUUUGUUGUUUGGUACCAUCAUAAAUUAUUUGGAAUUAGUUGUUUUGUAUUUUUGUACAGCACUUUAGUCAACGUUGUUGUUGUAAUUAAACGUGCAGUAUAUAUAAAUAAACGAUAACGAAACUAUUAUGGUUUGAUCGAGGAGGUGAUCAGGGUGUCAAUGGGACAGUUUGAGCACAUGGGCGAGGUUCUCUCUUAAACGCUACACGGGUAUUUUUG